RNAcentral lists this ribosomal RNA (244 nucleotides) under uncultured bacterium. Its description in RNAcentral is "partial small subunit ribosomal RNA". It matches the Rfam family "Bacterial small subunit ribosomal RNA", at positions 26 to 286 of the family's 1533-position model. The record is from RNAcentral.
AGAAUCAACGCUGGCGGCGUGCCUAACACAUGCAAGUCGAACGAGAAAGUGGAGCAAUCCAUGAGUAAAGUGGCGCACGGGUGAGUAACACGUGACUAACCUACCCUUGAGUGGGGAUAACCUAGGGAAACCUGGGCUAAUACCGCAUAAUACCUUCGGGUCAAAGGAGCAAUUCGCUUAAGGAGGGGUCGCGGCCGAUUAGUUAGUUGGCGGGGUAAUGGCCCACCAAGACUGUGAUCGGUAU